CUUGCUGGGUUGAUCAGUGGCGAACGGGUGAGUAACACGUGAGUAACCUGCCCCAGACUCCGGGAUAAGCCUUGGAAACGAGGUCUAAUACUGGAUACGAGAUGCCCCUGCAUGGGGAGUGUCUGGAAAGAUUUAUCGGUCUGGGAUGGACUCGCGGCCUAUCAGCUUGUUGGUGGGGUAAUGGCCUACCAAGGCGACGACGGGUAGCCGGCCUGAGAGGGCGACCGGCCACACUGGGACUGAGACACGGCCCAGACUCCUACGGGAGGCAGCAGUGGGGAAUAUUGCACAAUGGGCGCAAGCCUGAUGCAGCGACGCCGCGUGAGGGAUGAAGGCCUUCGGGUUGUAAACCUCUUUCAGCAGGGAAGAAGCGCAAGUGACGGUACCUGCAGAAGAAGCGCCGGCUAACUACGUGCCAGCAGCCGCGGUAAUACGUAGGGCGCAAGCGUUGUCCGGAAUUAUUGGGCGUAAAGAGCUCGUAGGCGGUUUGUCGCGUCUGGUGUGAAAACUCAAGGCUCAACCUUGAGCUUGCAUCGGGUACGGGCAGACUAGAGUGCGGUAGGGGUGACUGGAAUUCCUGGUGUAGCGGUGGAAUGCGCAGAUAUCAGGAGGAACACCGAUGGCGAAGGCAGGUCACUGGGCCGCAACUGACGCUGAGGAGCGAAAGCAUGGGGAGCGAACAGGAUUAGAUACCCUGGUAGUCCAUGCCGUAAACGUUGGGCACUAGGUGUGGGGCUCAUUCCACGAGUUCCGUGCCGCAGCAAACGCAUUAAGUGCCCCGCCUGGGGAGUACGGCCGCAAGGCUAAAACUCAAAGGAAUUGACGGGGGCCCGCACAAGCGGCGGAGCAUGCGGAUUAAUUCGAUGCAACGCGAAGAACCUUACCAAGGCUUGACAUACACCGGAAACUUCCAGAGAUGGUUGCCCCGCAAGGUCGGUGUACAGGUGGUGCAUGGUUGUCGUCAGCUCGUGUCGUGAGAUGUUGGGUUAAGUCCCGCAACGAGCGCAACCCUCGUCUUAUGUUGCCAGCACGUCAUGGUGGGGACUCAUAAGAGACUGCCGGGGUCAACUCGGAGGAAGGUGGGGAUGACGUCAAAUCAUCAUGCCCCUUAUGUCUUGGGCUUCACGCAUGCUACAAUGGCCGGUACAAAGGGCUGCGAUACCGCGAGGUGGAGCGAAUCCCAAAAAGCCGGUCUCAGUUCGGAUUGGGGUCUGCAACUCGACCCCAUGAAGUCGGAGUCGCUAGUAAUCGCAGAUCAGCAACGCUGCGGUGAAUACGUUCCCGGGCCUUGUACACACCGCCCGUCAAGUCACGAAAGUCGGUAACACCCGAAGCC
Molecule: ribosomal RNA, 1336 nt
Filed under: Oerskovia sp. Tibet-YD4604-7
Lineage: Bacteria; Bacillati; Actinomycetota; Actinomycetes; Micrococcales; Cellulomonadaceae
Description: bacterial SSU rRNA
Rfam family: Bacterial small subunit ribosomal RNA
Source: RNAcentral